GAUGAACGCUAGCUACAGGCUUAACACAUGCAAGUCGAGGGGCAGCAUGGUCUUAGCUUGCUAAGGCCGAUGGCGACCGGCGCACGGGUGAGUAACACGUAUCCAACCUGCCGUCUACUCUUGGACAGCCUUCUGAAAGGAAGAUUAAUACAAGAUGGCAUCAUGAGUUCACAUGUUCACAUGAUUAAAGGUAUUCCGGUAGACGAUGGGGAUGCGUUCCAUUAGAUAGUAGGCGGGGUAACGGCCCACCUAGUCUUCGAUGGAUAGGGGUUCUGAGAGGAAGGUCCCCCACAUUGGAACUGAGACACGGUCCAAACUCCUACGGGAGGCAGCAGUGAGGAAUAUUGGUCCAAUGGGCGAGAGCCUGAACCAGCCAAGUAGCGUGCAGGAUGACGGCCCUAUGGGUUGUAAACUG
RNAcentral lists this ribosomal RNA (415 nucleotides) under uncultured bacterium. RNAcentral describes it as "bacterial SSU rRNA". It matches the Rfam family "Bacterial small subunit ribosomal RNA", at positions 28 to 432 of the family's 1533-position model. The record is from RNAcentral.